Phasianus colchicus (ring-necked pheasant) is the source of this 1134-nucleotide long non-coding RNA. RefSeq lists it as uncharacterized. The record is from RefSeq and is a predicted model, not a curated record. Lineage: Eukaryota; Metazoa; Chordata; Aves; Galliformes; Phasianidae.
GCAGCAUUUGUACGUUCAGACUAAUAUAGUCUGGGGUUAAAACGAACACAGUCCAAUGAACCUAUCAUGUUUAUUUGUUCAUUUUAUAGAUGUUACAGUGGGCAUGGGGUUACCUUUGUGAAACAAAAGCAGCAGUCAGGUCUUAGCUUUUGGUAUAUUUUCUAAAUGGAAUGCAAAUACACUUCCCUAUUAUUUAACAUUACUGCUGAUCACAGAAGAAAGAAAAGAGAGGGAAAGACAAAUUACCUAACCUGUGUUGCUGUAAUGCAUUACCUGCAGAUAUUAAAGCUCCAUUUUGUUCCCUUUUUAUUGAGCUAUGAAAAUAAGAUACUUCACUCCUUAUUGACUUUGAGCAUUUUUGUGUCCAUAUUGAUUUGAGCAAUUUUCACUUUUCUGCCUGUGUCUCUCAAGUUAUAUAAGCUGCACAGCUCCUGUGCACCAGAUUUGAUUUUCAUCCAUGCAGAGACAGCUUAAUUAAAACAUUUUUCUUUCCCACUCCAAAAGAGCUCAGGAGGAACAGAGAUAUUUUCUUACCAGAACCAUGUCUAUAUACAAAGUCAAGAUUUUCUUGGACCUGACACCAGCUGGCAGUGUUCAUCUAAGCAUGCUGAUUUGCAUUUUAUGAGCUUUAAAUCUCUUGCUGUAUUCUGAUUUCACUUCCCUCAACUUGAACACUAGGUAGAGUCAGUCACAUUUUAAUUUUCCUGAGUUUUGUAGUGUAACUGAACUGUGUGGCUGUGAUGGGGCCAGCAUGGUCCUAUGAGCUCUGCAUCAUCAUGCUGCACUGUUGUAUGGUGAGUAUGACAUCAAAGCGCAUUCCAUCCUGCACUGGUCUCUGCUCUGCAGAGCCUAAUCCCUGCUGGAGGGAACAACUGAAGUUAAAAUCCUGAGGAUAGUGCUUUAGAAUGCAUGGAGUUAAACAGGAUGGAAGAAACUGUAUGCAGAAAUCUGAAGUGAUCCUGGCUUGGAGUACGGCAUUAGGUCAGCUCGCGUGAGCCAGCUCCACGUGCUGAUGAGUCCUUCUCCCUCCUGCCUGGUGACGUCUAUGUUUGCUCAGGAGACAGAAAACAUGGGAGCAGAAGAAGAGACACGGACAUUUUCUCUACUAGAUGUAUAAAAAUGAGCAAAUCUCCA